CCCCCCCAGGGUGGAACCUGCGGGCUUAAAUUGACGCCACCCGGGGAAAACUCACCAGGGUCCCAGACACAGUGAGGAUUGACAAGAUUUGAGAGCUCUUUCUUGAUUCUGUGGGUGGUGGUGCAUGGCCGUUCUUAGUUGGUGGAGUGAUUUGUCUGCUUAAUUGCGAUAACGAACGAGACCU
This 184-nucleotide ribosomal RNA is filed under the name uncultured fungus. RNAcentral's name for it is "partial small subunit ribosomal RNA". It matches the Rfam family "Eukaryotic small subunit ribosomal RNA", at positions 1174 to 1343 of the family's 1831-position model. Lineage: Eukaryota; Fungi. The record is from RNAcentral.